This 467-nucleotide ribosomal RNA is filed under the name uncultured bacterium. Its description in RNAcentral is "partial 16S ribosomal RNA". It matches the Rfam family "Bacterial small subunit ribosomal RNA", at positions 30 to 507 of the family's 1533-position model. The record is from RNAcentral.
AGUGAACGCUGGCGGUAGGCCUAACACAUGCAAGUCGAACGGCAGCACAGUAAGAGCUUGCUCUUACGGGUGGCGAGUGGCGGACGGGUGAGGAAUACAUCGGAAUCUACUUUUUCGUGGGGGAUAACGUAGGGAAACUUACGCUAAUACCGCAUACGACCUACGGGUGAAAGCAGGGGAUCUUCGGACCUUGCGCGAUUGAAUGAGCCGAUGUCGGAUUAGCUAGUUGGCGGGGUAAAGGCCCACCAAGGCGACGAGCCGUAGCUGGGCUGAGAGGAUGAGCAGCGACGCUGGGACUGAGACACGGCCCAGACUCGGAGGGGAGGCAGGAGGGGGUAAUACUGGACAAGGGGCGCAAGACUGAGCAACCCAGGCCGCGGGAGUGCUGAAGGCGUGAGGGAAGGAAAGCUCUUUGGUACGGGAAGAUAAUGACUGUACCGGAAGAAUAAGCCCCGGCUAACUUCGUG